AGUGGGAUAGCUGGGUUAAACUUUCAUUUUAAGUUUUCUAAGGAAUCUCCACACUGCUUUCCAGAUUGGUUGCAUCAAUUUGUAGUCUCACCAGCAAU
This 98-nucleotide microRNA precursor is filed under the name Marmota monax (woodchuck). Lineage: Eukaryota; Metazoa; Chordata; Mammalia; Rodentia; Sciuridae. The record is from RNAcentral.